UACGUAGGGGGCAAGCGUUGUCCGGAUUCAUUGGGCGUAAAGAGCGUGUAGGCGGCCAGGUAGGUCGGUUGUGAGAACUGGAGGCUCAACCUUCAGAGGUCGACCGAAACCAUCUGGCUAGAGUCCGGGAGAGGAGAGUGGAAUUCCUGGUGUAGCGGUGAAAUGCGCAGAUAUCAGGAAGAACACCCGUGGCGAAAGCGGCUCUCUGGAACGGUACUGACGCUGAGACGCGAAAGCGUGGGGAGCGAACAGG
This 253-nucleotide ribosomal RNA is filed under the name uncultured bacterium. RNAcentral's name for it is "partial 16S ribosomal RNA". It matches the Rfam family "Bacterial small subunit ribosomal RNA", at positions 524 to 776 of the family's 1533-position model. The record is from RNAcentral.